This 333-nucleotide ribosomal RNA is filed under the name Podarcis liolepis (Columbretes wall lizard). RNAcentral's name for it is "partial 16S ribosomal RNA". It matches the Rfam family "Archaeal large subunit ribosomal RNA", at positions 1980 to 2496 of the family's 2987-position model. Lineage: Eukaryota; Metazoa; Chordata; Lepidosauria; Squamata; Lacertidae. The record is from RNAcentral.
UCCCGCNNGCCCAGNGACUCUUUAAACGGCCGCGGUAUCCUAACCGUGCAAAGGUAGCAUAAUCACUUGUCCCCUAAUUAGGGACUAGAAUGAACGGCUAAAUGAGGACAAAACUGUCUCUUACGGACAGGCCAAUGAAAUUGAUCUUCCAGUACAAAAGCUGGAAUAAACACAUAAGACGAGAAGACCCUGUGGAGCUUUAAAACCAAAAUCACCAAACAUGCUUCUUGGAUUUUUAGUUGGGGCGACUUUGGAGCAAAAAAAACCCUCCNNAAAUAAUAAACCCAUUUAUUAAGACCUACNCACCAAAAAAUAAUUUUAUCANACCCAGCA